This 205-nucleotide ribosomal RNA is filed under the name Clostridioides difficile. Its description in RNAcentral is "partial 23S ribosomal RNA". It matches the Rfam family "Bacterial large subunit ribosomal RNA", at positions 213 to 420 of the family's 2925-position model. Lineage: Bacteria; Bacillati; Bacillota; Clostridia; Peptostreptococcales; Peptostreptococcaceae. The record is from RNAcentral.
AAGGAAGAGAAAGAAAUUCGAUUCCGUAAGUAGCGGCGAGCGAACGCGGAUUAGCCCAAACCAAUAAAGUUUUCUUUAUUGGGGUUGCGGACAUAUCAUAACAAAGAGGUAUCGUAAUUGAAGAGGUUUGGAAAGACCCACCACAGAAGGUAAUAGUCCUGUAUGUUAAACGAGAAGACUUUAGAUAUGAUCCAGAGUACCACGG